CCUACGGGGGGCAGCAGUGGGGAAUAUUGGACAAUGGGCGAAAGCCUGAUCCAGCCAUGCCGCGUGUGUGAAGAAGGCCUUCGGGUUGUAAAGCACUUUCAGUGGGGAAGAAAGCCUUGGGGCUAAUACCCUCGAGGAAGGACAUCACCCACAGAAGAAGCACCGGCUAACUCCGUGCCAGCAGCCGCGGUAAUACGGAGGGUGCGAGCGUUAAUCGGAAUUACUGGGCGUAAAGCGCGCGUAGGCGGUCUGAUAAGCCGGUUGUGAAAGCCCCGGGCUCAACCUGGGAACGGCAUCCGGAACUGUCAGGCUAGAGUGCAGGAGAGGAAGGUAGAAUUCCCGGUGUAGCGGUGAAAUGCGUAGAGAUCGGGAGGAAUACCAGUGGCGAAGGCGGCCUUCUGGACUGACACUGACGCUGAGGUGCGAAAGCGUGGGUAGCAAACAGGAUUAGAUACCCCUUGUAGUC
Molecule: ribosomal RNA, 466 nt
Filed under: Vreelandella stevensii
Lineage: Bacteria; Pseudomonadati; Pseudomonadota; Gammaproteobacteria; Oceanospirillales; Halomonadaceae
Description: partial 16S ribosomal RNA
Rfam family: Bacterial small subunit ribosomal RNA
Source: RNAcentral